CUGUCAGGCCGUAACAAAGCGACAAGCGUCCUCUCCACGCUCAGCCCAAGGGGCUGCAGAGAAGACAGAGGGAUGAAGCUGAGACCCAUCUUCCCUCAGUACAGUAUGGACCACCAUCCUCCAGAGGGCAGUGAGCCACUCCUCUCCUCCUCCCACCUGUAGAAAGGAUGUCAGAGGAGGCCUAAAGGCCCCACUCAGAGGUAGCACUGUUUUCCAUUCCUCGGUGACACUGGUGGCCAUAGGGGAACAGCCAUGUGACACAUUUCUCCUUCCAAGGCUGGAUGGUCUUAGCAGGAACCUAAUAGCAUCCUGAGCUCUCAAUAACAUGAGGGAGGGCUGCAUGGAGACUCUGGAUUUACAGCCCUGCGGAAGGGAUGAGCCAGUAUGUUGCUUCUUGGGAGCAGCAGGAGGUGACUGCUAAUGUGAAAGUCAUGAGACCUCAUCUCAGGAGCUCAUAAUGCAAAAAAUGCACUAAGGUCAAGGAAAUCUCAAGCCAACAGAGGAAAGAUAAUCUACAGAUACCAACCUCAAGAGGACACUGAGGUUAGAAUUAUCUGACAAAGACUUCAACGAUGCCUUUAUAAAAAACACUUCAAGGAGAAUCACACACUCAUGGGCCUGAGGCAGGAAGGUGGCUGCCUUAAUCACUUUUCAUGGCCGUGAUGAAGCAGAGCUCAAGCAGGAAGGUCACAAAUUCAAGACUGGUCUGUCUCAAAAACGAAAGAGAGAAAGCCAAGGCAGUUGUGGUGGUGGCUCACACCUUUGGUCCCAGAACUUGGGAGGCAGAGGCAGAGGGAUUUCUGAAUUCAAGGCCAGCCUGGUCUACAGAGUGAGUUCCAGGACAGCCAGAGUUACACAGAAAAACCUUGUCUCAAAAAAAAAAAAA
This 886-nucleotide long non-coding RNA is filed under the name Mus caroli (Ryukyu mouse). RNAcentral describes it as "lncRNA (MGP_CAROLIEiJ_G0006498.1)". The record is from RNAcentral. Lineage: Eukaryota; Metazoa; Chordata; Mammalia; Rodentia; Muridae.